This 444-nucleotide ribosomal RNA is filed under the name uncultured bacterium. RNAcentral's name for it is "bacterial SSU rRNA". It matches the Rfam family "Bacterial small subunit ribosomal RNA", at positions 355 to 796 of the family's 1533-position model. The record is from RNAcentral.
UAAGGAAUAUUGGUCAAUGGGCGGAAGCCUGAACCAGCCAUGCCGCGUGCAGGAAGACGGCCCUACGGGUUGUAAACUGCUUUUGUACCGGAAUAAACCUUGAUUCGUGAAUCAAGCUGAAUGUACGGUAAGAAUAAGGAUCGGCUAACUCCGUGCCAGCAGCCGCGGUAAUACGGAGGAUCCAAGCGUUAUCCGGAUUUAUUGGGUUUAAAGGGUGCGUAGGCGGCCAGUUAAGUCAGGGGUGAAAGACGGUAGCUCAACUAUCGCAGUGCCUUUGAUACUGACGGGCUUGAAUGUACUUGAGGUAGGCGGAAUGUGACAAGUAGCGGUGAAAUGCAUAGAUAUGUCACAGAACACCAAUUGCGAAGGCAGCUUACUAAAGUAUGAUUGACGCUGAGGCACGAAAGCGUGGGGAUCAAACAGGAUUAGAUACCCCCGUAGUCC